GAUGAACGCUGGCGGCGUGCCUAAUACAUGCAAGUCGAGCGAACAGAUGAGAAGCUUGCUUCUCUGAUGUUAGCGGCGGACGGGUGAGUAACACGUGGGUAACCUACCUAUAAGACUGGGAUAACUCCGGGAAACCGGGGCUAAUACCGGAUAAUAUUUUGAACCGCAUGGUUCAAUAGUGAAAGACGGUUUCGGCUGUCACUUAUAGAUGGACCCGCGCCGUAUUAGCUAGUUGGUAAGGUAACGGCUUACCAAGGCGACGAUACGUAGCCGACCGGAGGGGGUGAUCGGCCACACUGGAACUGAGACACGGUCCAGACUCCUACGGGAGGCAGCAGUAGGGAAUCUUCCGCAAUGGGCGAAAGCCUGACGGAGCAACGCCGCGUGAGUGAUGAAGGUCUUCGGAUCGUAAAACUCUGUUGUUAGGGAAGAACAAAUUUGUUAGUAACUGAACAAGUCUUGACGGUACCUAACCAGAAAGCCACGGCUAACUACGUGCCAGCAGCCGCGGUAA
RNAcentral lists this ribosomal RNA (514 nucleotides) under uncultured bacterium. RNAcentral's name for it is "partial 16S ribosomal RNA". It matches the Rfam family "Bacterial small subunit ribosomal RNA", at positions 28 to 523 of the family's 1533-position model. The record is from RNAcentral.